RNAcentral lists this ribosomal RNA (253 nucleotides) under uncultured bacterium. Its description in RNAcentral is "partial 16S ribosomal RNA". It matches the Rfam family "Bacterial small subunit ribosomal RNA", at positions 524 to 776 of the family's 1533-position model. The record is from RNAcentral.
UACGGAGGGGGCUAGCGUUGUUCGGAUUUACUGGGCGUAAAGGGCGCGUAGGCGGCGGGUCAAGUCGAGUGUGAAAGCCCCGGGCUCAACCUGGGAAUUGCGCUCGAGACUGGUCUGCUUGAGUUCGGGAGAGGAGAGUGGAAUUCCCAGUGUAGAGGUGAAAUUCGUAGAUAUUGGGAAGAACACCGGUGGCGAAGGCGGCUCUCUGGACCGAGACUGACGCUGAGGCGCGAAAGCGUGGGGAGCAAACAGG